UGCAGAGUCACUUCUUGAGCCGCUUGAUC
RNAcentral lists this non-coding RNA (29 nucleotides) under Mus musculus (house mouse). Lineage: Eukaryota; Metazoa; Chordata; Mammalia; Rodentia; Muridae. The record is from RNAcentral.